CCCUUAGAUGUUCUGGGCCGCACGCGUGCUACACUGAGUGGAUCAGCGGGUCAGGUUGCGCGAAAGUGUUUCCUAAUCUUGAAAUCCGCUCGUGAUGGGGAUUGACGGUUGCAAUUUUCCGUCAUGAACGAGGAAUACCUUGUAAGCGCGGGUCAUCAUCCCGCGCUGAAUACGUCCCUGCCCUUCGUACACACCGCCCGUCGCUCCUACCGAUUGAGUGGUCCGGUGAGGCUUUGGGAUCUGAGCGGAAAGAGCGUUUCGCUGUUUCUGCUCGGAAAACUCAGUCGAACCUUAUCAUUUAGAGGAAGGAGAAGUCGUAACA
This 322-nucleotide ribosomal RNA is filed under the name uncultured eukaryote. RNAcentral's name for it is "partial 18S ribosomal RNA". It matches the Rfam family "Eukaryotic small subunit ribosomal RNA", at positions 1470 to 1796 of the family's 1831-position model. The record is from RNAcentral.